UACAGAGGUCCCAAGCGUUGUCCGGAUUUACUGGGCGUAAAGGGCGUGCAGGCGGUUUGUUAAGUGCAGGGUGAAAGCUCCCGGCUCAACUGGGAGAGGUCCUUGCAUACUGGCAAACUCGAGGGAGGCAGAGGAAAGUGGAAUUCCCGGUGUAGUGGUGAUAUGCGUAGAUAUCGGGAGGAACACCUGUGGCGAAGGCGGCUUUCUGGGCCUUACCUGACGCUGAGACGCGAAAGCGUGGGGAGCGAACAGG
Molecule: ribosomal RNA, 253 nt
Filed under: uncultured bacterium
Lineage: Bacteria
Description: partial 16S ribosomal RNA
Rfam family: Bacterial small subunit ribosomal RNA
Source: RNAcentral